RNAcentral lists this ribosomal RNA (253 nucleotides) under uncultured bacterium. Its description in RNAcentral is "partial 16S ribosomal RNA". It matches the Rfam family "Bacterial small subunit ribosomal RNA", at positions 524 to 776 of the family's 1533-position model. The record is from RNAcentral.
UACGGGGGAGCAAGCGUUGUUCGGAUUUACUGGGCGUAAAGGGCGCGUAGGCGGUCAGCACAAGUCAGUUGUGAAAUCUCCGGGCUUAACUCGGAAAGGUCAACUGAUACUGUGCGACUAGAGUGCAGAAGGGGCAACUGGAAUUCUCGGUGUAGCGGUGAAAUGCGUAGAUAUCGAGAGGAACACCUGCGGCGAAGGCGGGUUGCUGGGCUGACACUGACGCUGAUGCGCGAAAGCGUGGGGAGCAAACAGG